Small nuclear RNA from Protopterus annectens (West African lungfish), 163 nucleotides. RefSeq annotates it as U1 spliceosomal RNA. The transcript has a single exon. Lineage: Eukaryota; Metazoa; Chordata; Ceratodontiformes; Protopteridae. The record is from RefSeq and is a predicted model, not a curated record.
AUAGUUACCUGACAGGGGGAGAUAUUACGAUCAGAACGGUGGUUUUCCCAGGGUGAGGCUCACUGAUUGCAUGCAGAGCGGGUUGACCUCUGUAAUGUCCACAAAUAUGGGAUACUCAGCUGCAUAAUUUAUGGUAGUGUGGGACUGCAUUUGCACUUCCCCU